CAAACUUCUUAACCUUUAUUGGAGGAGGGACAGGAAGAGGAGGUUCCUGUGUCAAACAUUAUAUUAUGAAGCUCUGAAGCCUGGGGAUGUUGGGACUGGCAAGUGAAGGGCACUUUGAAAAGGGAUGCUGGACAGGAACAUCUAUGCCCUUGGGUGAACAGCAAGGGCAGCAGUCUCAGAAGCGACCGUGCCGGUGGUCUGGGGAACGACGUCGGUUCCUUUCUCGGGGACGGUGACCUGUGUGGGACCUUGGAGGUACCUAUGCCUGGGUCCUCGCCCAUAGAGCUGCCGGCGCAAGUUCCGAGAUAUGGGUCGUAGGUG
RNAcentral lists this long non-coding RNA (321 nucleotides) under Mus pahari (shrew mouse). RNAcentral describes it as "lncRNA (MGP_PahariEiJ_G0002140.1)". Lineage: Eukaryota; Metazoa; Chordata; Mammalia; Rodentia; Muridae. The record is from RNAcentral.